This 434-nucleotide ribosomal RNA is filed under the name uncultured Lachnospiraceae bacterium. Its description in RNAcentral is "bacterial SSU rRNA". It matches the Rfam family "Bacterial small subunit ribosomal RNA", at positions 341 to 792 of the family's 1533-position model. Lineage: Bacteria; Bacillati; Bacillota; Clostridia; Lachnospirales; Lachnospiraceae. The record is from RNAcentral.
ACGGGAGGCAGCAGUGGGGAAUAUUGCACAAUGGGGGAAACCCUGAUGCAGCGACGCCGCGUGAAGGAAGAAGUAUCUCGGUAUGUAAACUUCUAUCAGCAGGGAAGAAAGUGACGGUACCUGACUAAGAAGCCCCGGCUAAUUACGUGCCAGCAGCCGCGGUAAUACGUAAGGGGCAAGCGUUAUCCGGAUUUACUGGGUGUAAAGGGAGCGUAGACGGCAGAGCAAGUCUGAUGUGAAAGGCAGGGGCUCAACCCCUGGACUGCAUUGGAAACUGUUCGGCUUGAGUGCCGGAGAGGUAAGCGGAAUUCCUAGUGUAGCGGUGAAAUGCGUAGAUAUUAGGAGGAACACCAGUGGCGAAGGCGGCUUACUGGACGGCAACUGACGUUGAGGCUCGAAAGCGUGGGGAGCAAACAGGAUUAGAUACCCUGGUA